Molecule: non-coding RNA, 1822 nt
Organism: Heterocephalus glaber (naked mole-rat)
Lineage: Eukaryota; Metazoa; Chordata; Mammalia; Rodentia; Bathyergidae
Source: RefSeq, a predicted model, not a curated record
AUCGGGCUGGAUCGGCGUGUUCCACGCAGCUCAAGAUCUUGCUGUGGCCUCUGCAGUCUUGCCCAUCUGAACUGGGCUGGACUGGCCUGUUCCUCAGAGCUCAGGAGCUUGCUCUCUCCUUUGCAGACUUGCACAUCUGAAGUGGUCUGGAUCCGCCUUUUCCAGGAAGCUCGGGAGCUUGCUGUGUCUUCCGUGGAUUUGCCCUUCUGAGCCGUGGUGGAUAAUCGUGUUCCUCGUAGCUCGGGAGCUUUGCUGUGGCCUCCGCAGACUUGCCUGUGUGUACCAGGCCAGAUUGGCGUGUGCCUCACAGCUCGGGAGCUUGCUGUGGCCUCCACAGACUUGCCCGUCUGAACUGGGGUGGAUCAUCGUGUUCUUUGCAGAUGGGGAGCUUGCUGUCCCCUCUUACAUGACGUUUCAGUGUAGCUGUUUUCAUGGAAGAAAAGUGAAAAUCUCCCAUCCACACCCUCAGUCACAGAAUCUCACUCCUCAGAGGAGUAACUUUCACUUCAUGAGCUUGACAGCGUUCAUCUUUAAUUAUUUGUAAUCAUCUGAUUACAAAUUUAUUCAAGCUUCCAGCUCUCGCUGUGACUAUUACCUUGUAUUUAUUUCACUCUGAGGUCUCGCCUUCAAUUACUGCCCAACAGGUGGUGUAAAAAGAGGACUCAGUGGCUGGGUGUGAUGCCGAGGGCCUGUGAUCCCAGCACUUCGGAGACUGGAGCAGGAGGAUCACCGUGAGAGCAAGGCCACCUUGGGCUACACAGGGAGACCAUGUAUCAAAAAAUAAAUAAAUAAGGGCCGGGGAUAUACUCAGUGGCACAGCGGCCGCCUGACAAGCGAGAGGCCCUGAGUUCAAUUCCUGAUACCAAAAAAAAAAAAAAAGGAACUGUCUGGCUAGGCUUGGUGGUACAUGCCUGUUAUCCCAGCACUCAGGAGGCAGCAGCAGGAGGAUCACUGUGAGUUCGAAGCCAGCCUGAACUACGUAGUGAGAGCCUGUCUCAAAAAAUAAAUAAAUUUAAACAAAUAAAUAAAUAAAUAAAAGACAAUUCAGGCAUCCACUGUGUUAAAAGCAAUAAUUGUGCCUGCUUCAAUGUGGACUUUUAAAUUCUCAACAAAUUAUCAUAAUUAAAGUAUUUUUCUCUUCAAUAUGGAACACUUAGCCAAGCAUGGUGACACACACCUGCACUAAGGGAGGCUGGGGCAGGAGGAUAUCAAGUUUGAGUCCUACCUGGGCAAGUUAUUGAGACCCUAUCUCAAAAAAAAAAUUUUAAAAGGCCAGAGGAUUGGGAUCUAGUUCAGUGGUAGAAUGCACCUGGGUUUGAUUCUCAGUACCAAAUAAGGAAAGAACGGAAGAGAACACUUAGGGCAGGGGAUGCAGUUCAGUGGUAGAGCCUGUGUUUAGCAUGUGGCGCCCCCCCCCCCGACCCCAAAUGUUAAUAGUUAUCAUAGGAAUCAACAAUUUAACCUUUCAGUAUGUAUGCAACAGAAAGACAAAACAAAACAUGUCUAUCUACAUACACAAAUACCCUGCACAUGAAAUGAAAAAGAUCACUUUGAGGGCUUCCACAAGCCUACUGGAUGAAAACUUACAUUUAGGUUAAAACAGAUCAGACAGAAGUGCUCAUAAUUCAGUCAGCUGAUUUAUCAUUCAGUUAACACUGCUAACCACAGUAACAGCCUUGAUAUCUUAAACCUCUGCAGGAACCUUGAUAAGAGUUAUUAUUUUUUUCUUCUUAGUCACUGAUAUAAAAUAGGAGGGCAAAACAAAAUAGAAGCCAAAAGAAAAAUCCCAUUAAAAUGCUAGUUAAUAAAAGGCAUUAAAAUA